AGAACGAACGCUGGCGGCAUGCCUAACACAUGCAAGUCGAACGAGACCUUCGGGUCUAGUGGCGCACGGGUGCGUAACGCGUGGGAAUCUGCCCUUGGGUUCGGAAUAACAGCGAGAAAUUGCUGCUAAUACCGGAUGAUGACGUAAGUCCAAAGAUUUAUCGCCCAAGGAUGAGCCCGCGUAGGAUUAGCUUGUUGGUGAGGUAAGAGCUCACCAAGGCGACGAUCCUUAGCUGGUCUGAGAGGAUGAUCAGCCACACGUGGGACUGAGACCACGGCCCAGACCUCCGUACGGGAGGCAGCAGGUAGGGUAAUAGUUAGGACGAAGUGGGACGAAAGCCGUGACUCCAGACAAUCGCCGCGUGAGUGAGUGUAAGGUCUU
This 381-nucleotide ribosomal RNA is filed under the name uncultured soil bacterium. RNAcentral's name for it is "bacterial SSU rRNA". It matches the Rfam family "Bacterial small subunit ribosomal RNA", at positions 26 to 418 of the family's 1533-position model. The record is from RNAcentral.